GUCCCCUGGUCUUGCAGCUGGUCAAUGCAACCACAGAAUAUGCCGAGUUCCUGCACUGCAAGGGAAAGAAAUUCACCGACUUCGAGGAGGUGCGCCUUGAGAUCGAGGCCGAGACCGACAGGGUCACCGGCACCAACAAGGGCAUCUCGCCGGUGCCUAUCAACCUCCGCGUCUACUCGCCGCACGUGCUGAACCUGACCCUGGUGGACCUGCCCGGAAUGACCAAGGUCCCGGUGGGGGACCAACCUCCCGACAUCGAGUUCCAGAUCCGAGACAUGCUUAUGCAGUUUGUCACCAAGGAGAACUGCCUCAUCCUGGCCGUGUCCCCCGCCAACUCUGACCUGGCCAAUUCUGACGCCCUCAAGGUCGCCAAGGAGGUGGACCCCCAGGGCCAGCGCACCAUCGGGGUCAUCACCAAGCUGGACCUGAUGGACGAGGGCACAGAUGCCCGUGACGUGCUGGAGAACAAGCUGCUCCCCCUGCGCAGAGGCUACAUUGGGGUGGUGAACCGGAGCCAGAAGGACAUUGAUGGCAAGAAGGACAUUACCGCCGCCUUGGCUGCUGAACGAAAGUUCUUCCUCUCCCAUCCAUCUUAUCGCCACCUGGCUGACCGUAUGGGCACGCCCUACCUGCAGAAGGUCCUCAAUCAGCAACUGACGAACCACAUCCGGGACACACUGCCGGGGCUGCGGAACAAGCUGCAGAGCCAGCUGCUGUCCAUUGAGAAGGAGGUGGAGGAAUACAAGAACUUCCGCCCUGAUGACCCAGCUCGCAAGACCAAGGCCCUGCUGCAGAUGGUCCAGCAGUUCGCAGUAGACUUUGAGAAGCGCAUUGAGGGCUCAGGAGAUCAGAUCGACACCUACGAACUGUCGGGGGGAGCCCGCAUUAACCGAAUCUUCCACGAGCGCUUCCCUUUCGAGCUGGUCAAGAUGGAGUUUGAUGAGAAGGAACUCCGAAGGGAGAUCAGCUAUGCUAUCAAGAAUAUCCAUGGCAUUAGAACGGGGCUGUUUACCCCAGACAUGGCCUUUGAGACCAUUGUGAAAAAGCAGGUGAAGAAGAUCCGAGAACCGUGUCUCAAGUGUGUGGACAUGGUUAUCUCGGAGCUAAUCAGCACCGUUAGACAGUGCACCAAGAAGCUCCAGCAGUACCCGCGGCUGCGGGAGGAGAUGGAGCGCAUCGUGACCACCCACAUCCGGGAGCGCGAGGGCCGCACUAAGGAGCAGGUCAUGCUUCUCAUCGAUAUCGAGCUGGCUUACAUGAACACCAACCAUGAGGACUUCAUAGGCUUUGCCAAUGCUCAGCAGAGGAGCAACCAGAUGAACAAGAAGAAGACUUCAGGGAACCAGGAUGAGAUUCUGGUCAUCCGCAAGGGCUGGCUGACUAUCAAUAAUAUUGGCAUCAUGAAAGGGGGCUCCAAGGAGUACUGGUUUGUGCUGACUGCUGAGAAUCUGUCCUGGUACAAGGAUGAUGAGGAGAAAGAGAAGAAAUACAUGCUGUCUGUGGACAACCUCAAGCUGCGGGACGUGGAGAAGGGCUUUAUGUCGAGCAAGCAUAUCUUUGCCCUCUUUAACACGGAGCAGAGGAAUGUCUACAAGGAUUAUCGGCAGCUGGAGCUGGCCUGUGAGACACAGGAGGAGGUGGACAGCUGGAAGGCCUCCUUCCUGAGGGCUGGCGUGUACCCUGAGCGUGUUGGGGACAAAGAGAAAGUGAGUGUGCCCUUCUCUUGCCUCCUGCCAGGCAUCUGCAGCCUGGCACCAGCUCCAGCCAGGUUUUCAAGCAAGGGACCUGGAGAUGUUCUUUUCUAAUUUCUGGAUUGGGGCCAGGCGCAGUGGCUCACACCUGUAAACCCAACACUUUGGGAGGCCGAGGUGGGCGGAUCACAAGGUCAGGAGUUUGAGACCAGCCUGGCCAACACGGUGAAACCCCAUCUCUACUAAAAAUACAAAAAUUAGCCAGGCAUGGUGGUGCGCGCCUGUAAUCCCAGCUACUCAGGAGGCUGAGGCAGGAGAAUCGCUUGAACCCAGGAGGAGGUUGCAAUGAGCCAAUACAGCACCACUGCACUCCAGCCUGGGUGACAAAGCAAGACUUUCUUAAAAUAAUAAUAAUAAUAAUUUCUGGAUUGGGAAAUUGAGGCAAAUUCUAGGCACUAGAGUCAGAACCAAGACAAGGCUGAAUCAGGGGAGUCUAGGGCCCUGAGAGGCACAGGGAUGCGGAGCCGGGUAUGUAUUCAGGCCAGUCGCUUCUCUCUGUGCCUCAAUAUUCUGGGUACCCUUGGAGGGGCUGAGAUCCUGGGGAUGCCUGGAGCCUGGCUGCAUGGCCUGGCCACCUGAGGCCCUUGUGUUCUCCAUGGCAGGCCAGCGAGACCGAGGAGAAUGGCUCCGACAGCUUCAUGCAUUCCAUGGACCCACAGCUGGAGCGGCAAGUGGAGACCAUCCGGAAUCUUGUGGACUCAUACAUGGCCAUUGUCAACAAGACCGUGAGGGACCUCAUGCCCAAGACCAUCAUGCACCUCAUGAUUAACAAUACCAAGGAGUUCAUCUUCUCGGAGCUGCUGGCCAACCUGUACUCGUGUGGGGACCAGAACACGCUGAUGGAGGAGUCGGCGGAGCAGGCACAGCGGCGCGACGAGAUGCUGCGCAUGUACCACGCACUGAAGGAGGCGCUCAGCAUCAUCGGCGACAUCAACACGACCACCGUCAGCACGCCCAUGCCCCCGCCCGUGGACGACUCCUGGCUGCAGGUGCAGAGCGUACCGGCCGGACGCAGGUCGCCCACGUCCAGCCCCACGCCGCAGCGCCGAGCCCCCGCCGUGCCCCCAGCCCGGCCCGGGUCCCGGGGCCCUGCUCCUGGGCCUCCGCCUGCUGGGUCCGCCCUGGGGGGGGCGCCCCCCGUGCCCUCCAGGCCGGGGGCUUCCCCUGACCCUUUCGGCCCUCCCCCUCAGGUGCCCUCGCGCCCCAACCGCGCCCCGCCCGGGGUCCCCAGGUGAGUAGGGGCUGAAUGCGACUGGAGAGGCUGCCGGACGGGCGUGGCCGGGAGGGAAAUGGGGCUGGAUUCCAGAGCAUCGGACCUGGCCGCCAGAACCGGCCGUUUCUAUCCCAGGCAAUCGGACUCUGGGUGCCGGAGCCACGCCACGUGUGGCCGAGGGCUGGCGGAGCCUGCCCCCGAGGGAGCGCUGAGUCCCGGAGGUGGUCGUUUCUGGGGAGGGGGCUGUGGGGCUCGUCCCACCUGCCCCCUUCUUUCCAGCACUUGCAUGGCGCUUCCCUCUAUUUUCACUCUUGGCGGCCGC
Molecule: small RNA, 3286 nt
Filed under: Pan troglodytes (chimpanzee)
Lineage: Eukaryota; Metazoa; Chordata; Mammalia; Primates; Hominidae
Description: retained intron
Source: RNAcentral